UACGUAGGGAGCAAGCGUUGUCCGGAUUUACUGGGUGUAAAGGGUGCGUAGGCGGCUUUGCAAGUCAGAAGUGAAAUCCAUGGGCUUAACCCAUGAACUGCUUUUGAAACUGCAGAGCUUGAGUGGAGUAGAGGUUGGCGGAAUUCCCGGUGUAGCGGUGAAAUGCGUAGAGAUCGGGAGGAACACCAGUGGCGAAGGCGGCCUGCUGGGCUCUAACUGACGCUGAGGCACGAAAGCGUGGGUAGCAAACAGG
Molecule: ribosomal RNA, 253 nt
Filed under: uncultured bacterium
Lineage: Bacteria
Description: partial 16S ribosomal RNA
Rfam family: Bacterial small subunit ribosomal RNA
Source: RNAcentral